RNAcentral lists this small nuclear RNA (107 nucleotides) under Nestor notabilis (Kea). The record is from RNAcentral. Lineage: Eukaryota; Metazoa; Chordata; Aves; Psittaciformes; Psittacidae.
GUGCUUGCUUUGGCAGCACAUAUACUAAAAUUGGGAUGACACAGAGGAGAUCAGCAUGGCCCCUGCACAAGGAUGACAUAUAAAGUCAUGAAGCAUUCCAUAUUUUU